AUUGAACGCUGGCGGCAUGCCUUACACAUGCAAGUCGAACGGUAACGGGCCUUCGGGUGCCGACGAGUGGCGAACGGGUGAGUAAUACAUCGGAACGUGCCCGAUCGUGGGGGAUAACGAGGCGAAAGCUUUGCUAAUACCGCAUACGAUCUACGGAUGAAAGCAGGGGACCGCAAGGCCUUGCGCGGACGGAGCGGCCGAUGGCAGAUUAGGUAGUUGGUGGGAUAAAAGCUUACCAAGCCGACGAUCUGUAGCUGGGCUGAGAGGGUGAUCAGCCACACUGGGACUGAGACACGGCCCAGACUCCUACGGGAGGCAGCAGUGGGGAAUUUUGGACAAUGGGCGCAAGCCUGAUCCAGCCAUGCCGCGUGCAGGAUGAAGGCCUUCGGGUUGUAAACUGCUUUUGUACGGAACGAAAAGCCUUCUUUUAAUACAGGAGGGUCAUGACGGUACCGUAAGAAUAAGCACCGGCUAACUACGUG
Molecule: ribosomal RNA, 482 nt
Filed under: uncultured bacterium
Lineage: Bacteria
Description: partial 16S ribosomal RNA
Rfam family: Bacterial small subunit ribosomal RNA
Source: RNAcentral